AUCGGAAUGUGAUACAGAUCAUUUUAGGGGGAAUGAUCACUUAAUUGCUGGUUUGGUUGAUGAUGAAGAAGAUGCCCCUUUCACAACAGUAACUGGACAUGAAGCAUUUGUAACCACAUAGUUGCUAACACUCCCAAGUAACACCCUUUUGAUACGGCCUAAACCCCUGCUUCCAAUGACAAUAGAAUCAAGCUUGAGAUCAUCCACAGCAUCACACAGCUUCUCCCUUGGAUCUCCCCAGUAAACCUUUGCCACCACCUUGGCCCCUUUGGUGUUGGAGACUGUAUCAAGAAUAUUAAGAACCUCAGGAUCAUGACUGAGUCCAUACUGCUUUGAAUAAUUGAUCUCCCUGAAUUCCUCAAGAGGAACCAAAGCUGAAAAUUGAACAAGACAAUUAAUUAAUGAAACUAUAUUUGAAGUAAUUAAUUAAGAAAUAUGUGAUAUACGUGAUCCUGUGGCUUCAAAAAGCUGCUUCCUGGUAUGAUCGGCUUUGGGUGGCUGAACUUGGAUAAGGAUAAUCCUAUCUCCAGGAUCGAUCAGAUUUUCUGCUACCCAUCUGAGAGCUGCUUUGCUGGUCGGAGAGUAGUCCAUGCCUAUACCAACUGUACGUGCUUUGCCCAUCUCAGCUAUUGUUAUGGACCUUUGUUGUUCAGUAUUUCCUCUCUAUACAGAUUCUUUUUGGGAUUCUAUAUAUAGCAGAAUUGGGAGCUUCUUGAAGGUACUAGCAACAGGCUUUCUUUCAAUUAUAUAUGUAAAGAGGCUAAGCAAAAGCUAUUCCAACUUUAUUCCAUGGUGAUAAAAAAAUUUAUCUUAUAGAAACCAAAUCUGGACUAAAGAGA
RNAcentral lists this unclassified non-coding RNA (839 nucleotides) under Hevea brasiliensis (rubber tree). The record is from RNAcentral. Lineage: Eukaryota; Viridiplantae; Streptophyta; Magnoliopsida; Malpighiales; Euphorbiaceae.